This is a long non-coding RNA of Megalobrama amblycephala (Wuchang bream), 983 nucleotides long. RefSeq lists it as uncharacterized. The transcript has 4 exons. NCBI's taxonomy places the organism in Eukaryota, Metazoa, Chordata, Actinopteri, Cypriniformes, Xenocyprididae. The record is from RefSeq and is a predicted model, not a curated record.
UUUCAACUUAAGUGUGUUGUCCAAGAUGACAUUUGUUAAUGUAUUUUAAAUGUGCUUAGUCUUUAAUAAAUACUGUGUGCAUUAAUACACUUGAAAUUUAUUUUUCUGAAUUUCAAAACACUUGCUUAUACAGUGUAUAAUCCUGUACAACUUAUUGUUGAAAUUUUUAUCACCAGCUCCUGCUCUAAACUCGACUAGUGUCAGUUUUCUACAUAAUAUUUGACAUAAAAUGUUUUUUUUUUUUUUUUACGGAGUGCUGUAUUUGUGAUACUUAAUGCAACAGUGCUGUACUUUACAUAUCUGUAUAAUACUUAUAAUAUCAUUGUUGUUCUAAGUUGAUUAAACCUAUUUAAUUGCAAGCAAAAGUUUAACAGAUCUAAAAAAUAAUUUGAAUUCAUAUUCAGUUAAAAUACAUUUAAUUUUAAUCAGACUAAACUAUAAAAUAAUUGAAUUUCAGUUAGGUGAAUGAGUCAAGUUCUGUAAACUUACAGUCUAACUACAACAAUGAAUUAGAAAAACUUCCAACUUGAACAAAUUUAAUCAUGCGCAUGCGCCACAAUACUACGUCAUGACGGCGCAUUACUUCACCAGAGUUUGAAAAAUGCACCUUCAGCCAUCUUUCUGUGAUCGCGAUGCGCGAGGCAACUUUGCUGAUCAAAGAAGAAAACAAAGGAGCGCACGUUUGGAUGACUACAGAUGAGACGUUAUGUAUUACAAAUAAGAUCAGUACAGAUUUGUUAUUGGAGAUACAGUGCAAGCUGUGUGGAAUCAAAGACCUGUAUGUAUUGAUGAGGCCAGUGUCAGUGAAGAUGGUGUGGUCACUGGAAUCCUGGUGUUUGUGGGAAAUGUGAAGGAGCUUCUCCCAGGAUUCUACAACAGUGUUGUCCUGAUGACUGAGGUAUUUAUUUUUUUUACUUUCUUGCCUCUUUGGAACAUGUUCAUUUAUGCAUACUGUGUAGAGGUGGUUCGCAGCUUCAUGGACA